AGGGCACCACCAGGAGUGGAGCCUGCGGCUUAAUUUGACUCAACACGGGAAAACUCACCCGGCCCGGACACCGUAAGGAUUGACAGACUGAGAGCUCUUUCUUAAUUCGGUGGGUGGUGGUGCAUGGCCGUUCUUAGUUGGUGGAGCGAUUUGUCUGGUUAAUUCCGAUAACGAACGAGACUCUGGCCUACUAAAUAGGCGGUAUAUCGAAAAGUAUAUCGAACUUCUUAGAGGGACAAGCGGCGUCUAGCCGCAUGAAAUAGAGCAAUAACAGGUCUGUGAUGCCCUUAGAUGUCCGGGGCUGCACGCGCGCUACACUGAAAGAAUCAGAGUGCGCUUAAACCUAGUUCGGAAGAACCGGGUAACCCAAGUAAAUUCUUUCGUGCUUGGGAUAGGGAAUUGCAAUUAUUUCCCUUAAACGAGGAAUUCCCAGUAAGUGCGGGUCAUAAGCUCGCGUUGAUUACGUCCCUGCCCUUUGUACACACCGCCCGUCGCUACUACCGAUUGGAUGACUUAGUG
Molecule: ribosomal RNA, 519 nt
Filed under: uncultured eukaryote
Lineage: Eukaryota
Description: SSU rRNA
Rfam family: Eukaryotic small subunit ribosomal RNA
Source: RNAcentral